This 375-nucleotide ribosomal RNA is filed under the name Chaetoceros curvisetus. RNAcentral describes it as "partial Bacterial large subunit ribosomal RNA". It matches the Rfam family "Bacterial large subunit ribosomal RNA", at positions 2527 to 2911 of the family's 2925-position model. Lineage: Eukaryota; Bacillariophyta; Thalassiosirophyceae; Chaetocerotales; Chaetocerotaceae. The record is from RNAcentral.
CGAUGUCGGCUCAUCUCAUCCUGGGGCUGAAGCAGGUCCCAAGGGUAUGGCUGUUCGCCAUUUAAAGAGGUACGCGAGCUGGGUUUAGAACGUCGUGAGACAGUUCGGUCCCUAUCUACCGUGGGCGUUGGAAAUUUGAGAGGAUCUGCUCCUAGUACGAGAGGACCGGAGUGGACGAACCUCUGGUGUACCGGUUGUGACGCCAGUCGCAUCGCCGGGUAGCUAUGUUCGGAAGGGAUAACCGCUGAAAGCAUCUAAGCGGGAAGCCUGUUUUGAGAUGAGGUUUCUGUUGAGGUUCCCUAGAGAUGAUGGGGUUGAUAGGCCAGGGCUGUGAGCAUGGUGACGUGUUGUAAGGUGACUGGUACUAAUACACCG